Molecule: transfer RNA, 72 nt
Filed under: Versteria mustelae
Lineage: Eukaryota; Metazoa; Platyhelminthes; Cestoda; Cyclophyllidea; Taeniidae
Description: tRNA-Leu
Source: RNAcentral
GUAAAGAUGCCAGAAACUAUUUUAUGGGGUUAAUUUAGGUUUAAUUUAUGGCUGAUAUUAAGUCUCUUUAUU